Molecule: ribosomal RNA, 497 nt
Filed under: uncultured bacterium
Lineage: Bacteria
Description: partial 16S ribosomal RNA
Rfam family: Bacterial small subunit ribosomal RNA
Source: RNAcentral
GAUGAACGCUGGCGGCGUGCCUAAUACAUGCCAGUCGAGUGAACGGACGAGAAGCUUGCUUCUCUGAUGUUAGCGGCGGACGGGUGAGUAACACGUGGAUAACCUACCUAUAAGACUGGGAUAACUUCGGGAAACCGUAGCUAAUACCGGAUAAUAUUUUGAACCGCAUGGUUCAAAAGUGAAAGACGGUCUUGCUGUCACUUAUAGAUGGAUCCGCGCUGCAUUAGCUAGUUGGUAAGGUAACGGCUUACCAAGGCAACGAUGCAUAGCCGACCUGAGAGGGUGAUCGGCCACACUGGAACUGAGACACGGUCCAGACUCCUACGGGAGGCAGCAGUAGGGAAUCUUCCGCAAUGGACGAAAGCCUGACGGAGCAACGCCGCGUGAGUGAUGAAGGUCUUCGGAUCGUAAAACUCUGUUAUUAGGGAAGAACAUAUGUGUAAGUAACUGUGCACAUCUUGACGGUACCUAAUCAGAAAGCCACGGCUAACUACGUG